RNAcentral lists this ribosomal RNA (349 nucleotides) under bacterium enrichment culture. Its description in RNAcentral is "bacterial SSU rRNA". It matches the Rfam family "Bacterial small subunit ribosomal RNA", at positions 1164 to 1512 of the family's 1533-position model. The record is from RNAcentral.
CGGAGGAAGGUGGGGAUGACGUCAAGUCCUCAUGGCCCUUAUGGCCAGGGCUUCACACGUAAUACAAUGGUCGGUACAGAGAGUUGCCAACCCGCGAGGGGGAGCCAAUCUCAGAAAGCCGAUCGUAGUCCGGAUUGUAGUCUGCAACUCGACUACAUGAAGUCGGAAUCGCUAGUAAUCGCGGAUCAGCAUGUCGCGGUGAAUACGUUCCCGGNCCUUGUACACNCCGCCCGUCACACCAUGGGAGUGGGUUUUACCAGAAGUAGUUAGUCUAACCGCAAGGAGGACGAUUACCACGGUAGUAUUCAUGACUGGGGUGAAGUCGUAACAAGGUAGCCGUAUCGGAAGG